Molecule: ribosomal RNA, 172 nt
Filed under: uncultured bacterium
Lineage: Bacteria
Description: partial 16S ribosomal RNA
Rfam family: Bacterial small subunit ribosomal RNA
Source: RNAcentral
ACUCCUACGGAAGGCAGCAGUGGGGAAUAUUGGACAAUGGGCGCAAGCCUGAUCCAGCCAUGCCGCGUGAGUGACGAAGGCCUUAGGGUUGUAAAGCUCUUUUGGCGGGGACGAUAAUGACGGUACCUGCAGAAUAAGCCCCGGCUAACUUCGUGCCAGCAGCCGCGGUAAU